GAUGUUCUUGCUAAGCUUGGCUAAAAGAAUUCUUGUAUUUUAUUGUAAGCUUUGUCAAUCACUUUCUUUCGGUUGCUAUUUGAAAGGUGUAAAGUUGGAGGAGAAUAUAAUUGACAUGCAUCUUGCUGUUGUUUCUAUGGAGCAGAAAUUUGUGUAUAUAUUUAAUUACCAAAUGAAGCAAAACACAAGAAGUAAUUUGGGUAUAUUUAAUUGCCAAACGAUGCAUUCUUACUCCAUAACAAUCUUUCAUGAAGUAAUUUAAUUUUCAACAACAAUAUGUAGUGAAAAAUCCCCACAUAAUCACAAUUCUGAGAGAAGAAUUACAAUGAACAUUCCUGGUCGCAUACUGCUAACAUUCAUUAAGCUGGUUAGAAUCAUAUAACAACGCUAGCUCUGUUGGUUGCAGGGGAAUGGUAUCUCGUAGGUGAUAUUGCUAAAACACUUCUCUCUGCAAAGAGAACUUCAACUUAUCAGAUUCAGCACGAUGUAAUAUAAGAUGAUGUCUCUAUUUGGAUUUCUCGACACGUUUGAG
RNAcentral lists this unclassified non-coding RNA (532 nucleotides) under Hevea brasiliensis (rubber tree). The record is from RNAcentral. Lineage: Eukaryota; Viridiplantae; Streptophyta; Magnoliopsida; Malpighiales; Euphorbiaceae.